CUGUACGAGUUUGAUCAUGGCUCAGAGUGAACGCUGGCGGCAGGCCUAACACAUGCAAGUCGAACGGCAGCACGGCAGUAGCAAUACUGUGGGUGGCGAGUGGCGGACGGGUGAGGAAUACAUCGGGAUCUACCCUGUUGUGGGGGAUAACGUAGGGAAACUUACGCUAAUACCGCAUAAGAACUGAGGUUGAAAGCGGCGGACCGCAAGGCGUCGCGCGAUUGGAUGAACCGAUGUCCGAUUAGCUAGUUGGCGGGGUAAAGGCCCACCAAGGCGACGAUCGGUAGCUGGUCUGAGAGGACGACCAGCCACACUGGAACUGAGACACGGUCCAGACUCCUACGGGAGGCAGCAGUGGGGAAUAUUGGACAAUGGGCGCAAGCCUGAUCCAGCCAUGCCGCGUGGGUGAAGAAGGCCUUCGGGUUGUAAAGCCCUUUUGUCCGGAAAGAAAAGCAUUCGGUUAAUACCCGGGUGUUCUGACGGUACCGGAAGAAUAAGCACCGGCUAACUUCGUG
Molecule: ribosomal RNA, 515 nt
Filed under: uncultured bacterium
Lineage: Bacteria
Description: bacterial SSU rRNA
Rfam family: Bacterial small subunit ribosomal RNA
Source: RNAcentral